CGGCGUCUGGCUCAGCGUGCGCGUGAGGUUCGCGCCCUCCGCGAGCGCGAGGCCGCGCUUCAAUCCGCGGUUAAACGCCGCGUGCGCCGA
RNAcentral lists this transfer RNA (90 nucleotides) under Planctomycetota bacterium. Its description in RNAcentral is "tRNA-Ala". Lineage: Bacteria; Pseudomonadati; Planctomycetota. The record is from RNAcentral. RNAcentral also lists the same sequence under 1 other name.